UAAAUUAUAGUUUAAUAAAAACUUUUUUUUUACAUAAAAAAAUUAUAUAAAUUUAUAUUAAUUUAA
RNAcentral lists this transfer RNA (66 nucleotides) under Psilochorema bidens. RNAcentral's name for it is "tRNA-Val". Lineage: Eukaryota; Metazoa; Arthropoda; Insecta; Trichoptera; Hydrobiosidae. The record is from RNAcentral.